Non-coding RNA from Cinara cedri, 267 nucleotides. The record is from the annotation of a GenBank genome assembly. Lineage: Eukaryota; Metazoa; Arthropoda; Insecta; Hemiptera; Aphididae.
AUCAUGAUUAUUUACCUAUUCAAAAUUUUAGAUAAAAUUAAAUUUGGUUUUCAAUGAUGACACCGAUGAAAAUAAAAGUGCGUGUUGCUGGACUGAACACUGAACAGAUAUAUAUAAAUAUAUAUUCAAGGAUAAUAUUUUAAACACUUUCACAAAAGUAAUUAUCAGAACAAGUUAUCGAAAUCUGCAGUCUAUAAUCGAAUGUAGCAAAAAUGACUACUAUUGGAAUAUAAGCACAAAAACGGUAUUGAAAUGUGGUGUAGGUAC